Molecule: ribosomal RNA, 189 nt
Filed under: Pichia kluyveri
Lineage: Eukaryota; Fungi; Ascomycota; Pichiomycetes; Pichiales; Pichiaceae
Description: partial 18S ribosomal RNA
Rfam family: Eukaryotic small subunit ribosomal RNA
Source: RNAcentral
UAAGUCCCUGCCCUUUGUACACACCGCCCGUCGCUACUACCGAUUGAAUGGCUUAGUGAGGCUCCAAGAUUGGCGCCGCGGGAGGGGCAACUUUCCCAUGGCGCUGAAAAUUCAGUCAAACUUGGUCAUUUAGAGGUCGUAAAAGUCGUAACAAGGUUUCCGUAGGUGACACCUGCGGAAGGAUCAUUA